UGGCGGCGUGCUAACACAUGCAAGUCGAACGAGAAAGUGGAGCAAUCCAUGAGUAAAGUGGCGACCGGGUGAGUAACACGUGACUAACCUACCCUGAAGUGGGGAAUAACUCCGGGAAACCGGGGCUAAUACCGCAUAACAUCGCGAGCUGUAAACGCUUGUGACCAAAGGAGCAAUUCGCUUUAGGAGGGGGUCGCGGCUGAUUAGCUAGUUGGUGAGGUAACGGCCCACCAAGGCAAAGAUCAGUAUCCGGCCUGAGAGGGCGCACGGACACACUGGAACUGAAACACGGUCCAGACUCCUACGGGAGGCAGCAGUGGGGAAUUUUGCGCAAUGGGGGAAACCCUGACGCAGCAACGCCGCGUGGAGGAUGAAGUCCCUUGGGAUGUAAACUCCUUUCGAUCGGGACGAUUAUGACGGUACCGGAAGAAGAAGCACCGGCUAACUCUGUGCCAGCAGCCGCGGUUAUACAGAGGGUGCAAGCGUUGUUCGGAAUUAUUGGGCGUAAAGGGCGCGUANGCGGUGCUGU
RNAcentral lists this ribosomal RNA (529 nucleotides) under uncultured bacterium. RNAcentral describes it as "bacterial SSU rRNA". It matches the Rfam family "Bacterial small subunit ribosomal RNA", at positions 37 to 584 of the family's 1533-position model. The record is from RNAcentral.